Long non-coding RNA from Aedes aegypti (yellow fever mosquito), 525 nucleotides. RefSeq lists it as uncharacterized. The transcript is spliced from 5 exons. NCBI's taxonomy places the organism in Eukaryota, Metazoa, Arthropoda, Insecta, Diptera, Culicidae. The record is from RefSeq and is a predicted model, not a curated record.
CUUUGAAGUCGUCCAUUUCGUUUUUGUUCUUCAUCGUCACAACUCGUGUUGGCGUUCAUGGGAUGAAAUUGAAUUUAAAUUUUGUGCUUAUAGACUGUGUCAGUCAAAUUUAAAACGGUUUUACAAUGUUCAAAGUGGCCAACUGUCCAUUCGAAAUGAGCGAAUCGCCGAAUUACGCAGAAAAUGGCUAAUACGAAACGUGAUAAUCUCCAACGAAAUGAUGAACGAAUGACAUUCGUGGGAUAACAACGUGAACUUCUGAUCCAUGUGGAGGCAAUCGUCCACAGUCGGGAUAGAAAUGGAUUCACCGAGGAAGAAAUAACUUUAAAGGUGUCAAUUUCAAUGGACAGGAAGAUUGGCGUGCCCUUGUGCAUCGGGUCGAAAAGAAGACUCAUUCUAUCAUGCGAAAUCGCAACAAUAGGAUUAACAGCAAUGAUGAUCGACCAGACUCUUCCCUUGAAGCUGUUCUGUAGCGUUGUACAAUUACAAAAACAAAAAUGAAUAAAGAAAACACUCAAAAGUAAC